RNAcentral lists this ribosomal RNA (597 nucleotides) under Mycobacterium avium. Its description in RNAcentral is "bacterial SSU rRNA". It matches the Rfam family "Bacterial small subunit ribosomal RNA", at positions 262 to 857 of the family's 1533-position model. Lineage: Bacteria; Bacillati; Actinomycetota; Actinomycetes; Mycobacteriales; Mycobacteriaceae. The record is from RNAcentral.
GGCCUACCACGGCGACGACCGGUAGCCGGCCUGAGAGGGUGUCCGGCCACACUGGGACUGAUAUACGGCCCAGAGUCCUACGGGAGGCAGCACUGGGGUAUAUUGCGCAUUGGGCGCAAGCCUGAUGCAGCGACGCCGCGUGGGGGAUGACGGCCUUCGGGUUGUAAACCUCUUUCACCAUCGACGAAGGUCCGGGUUUUCUCGGAUUGACGGUAGGUGGAGAAGAAGCACCGGCCAACUACGUGCCAGCAGCCGCGGUAAUACGUAGGGUGCGAGCGUUGUCCGGAAUUACUGGGCGUAAAGAGCUCGUAGGUGGUUUGUCGCGUUGUUCGUGAAAUCUCACGGCUUAACUGUGAGCGUGCGGGCGAUACGGGCAGACUAGAGUACUGCAGGGGAGAUUGGAAUUCCUAGUGUAUCGGCGGAAUGCGCAGAUAUCAGGACGAACUCCGGUGGAGAAGGCGGGUCUCUGGGCAGUAACUGACGCUGAGGAGCGAAAGCGUGGGGAGCGAACAGGAUUAGAUACCCUGGUAGUCCCCGCCGUAAACGGUGGGUACUAGGUGUGGGUUUCCUUCCUUGGGAUCCGUCCCGUAGAUAACG